RNAcentral lists this long non-coding RNA (308 nucleotides) under Mytilus galloprovincialis (Mediterranean mussel). Lineage: Eukaryota; Metazoa; Mollusca; Bivalvia; Mytilida; Mytilidae. The record is from RNAcentral.
UGACUUUAAUGCUAAUCUAUGUAUGGAAUUAAAUUUAUACCUGAUUUACCUUUAGAAAUUGGAAACUUUCAUAUAUCAUUCAUGAAAGUACAAAUGUAGCCCUAUCUUUUGCAACAAUAAAAACAUAGGGUCAUGCGGCAUUUUUGGGCAUUCACAUGGCCUUGUUUACAAACAAUGUAGAUUCGCACUGAAUUCCUAUACUGACCCCAUUACUUUUCAACCCUGUAGUAAAAAAAAUUAGUACAUUCAGCAUUUAUUUUUUAUUUUUUUUCAACUCUAGUUUUGAUCCAUCUGCCAAAAAAUAUUUA